This 642-nucleotide ribosomal RNA is filed under the name Scaptodrosophila pattersoni. RNAcentral's name for it is "partial 16S ribosomal RNA". Lineage: Eukaryota; Metazoa; Arthropoda; Insecta; Diptera; Drosophilidae. The record is from RNAcentral.
UUAAAUUUUAUUUAUUAAUUUUUUUUGUUAUUUAUUAAUAUAUUAAAAAUAAUUAUAUAAUUUAAUGUUUUAGUAUUGUUUAAAGAAAAAAUAAUUUUAAUAAUAGUUUAAUAGUAUUGUGAAAGAAAGUUGAAAUAAUUUGAAAAAUUUUUAUUUUAAAAGAAAAUUUAAUUUAUUGUACCUUGUGUAUCAGUGUUUAUUAAAUAAAAAAUAUUUAUAUAUUUUUCUCGAUUUUAAAAGAGUUAAUAUAAUAUGAAAGUUAAUGUUGAAAAAUUAUUUUUAAUAUUAUAUUAGAAAUGAAAUGUUAUUCGUUUUUAAAGGUAUCUAGUUUUUUAAGAAAUAAAUUUAAUUUAGAAAUUAUAAAUUAAUUGAUUUAAUAAUAAAAUUAAUUAUUUAUAAUUUUAAUAUUUUAUGGGAUAAGCUAUAAAAUAAAUUUUUAAAAGUUGUAAAUAAAUUUAAUAAAUAUAUGUUUAGAAUUAGCAAUUAUUAAUAAAUAUGUUAUAAUUUAUUUUAUAAAAAAAUUAUUUAUUUAACUUUAAUUAUUUAUUAAAAUAUAAAUUUUAAUCUAAAAAAUUUAGUAAUAAUGAUAAAAUUAGUAUAUUAUAUUGUAUGUAUAAAUUUAAAUGAUAAGUUUUUAUAAAG